Molecule: long non-coding RNA, 1903 nt
Filed under: Lynx pardinus (Iberian lynx)
Lineage: Eukaryota; Metazoa; Chordata; Mammalia; Carnivora; Felidae
Source: RNAcentral
CUUCAAUCUCUAGCACCAGGGACUGGAUGUCAUUAUCAGUGAUUCUUUUGAUGUGGCCAUUCCGCACCUACAACGAAGAAAAUUAAACCAAUUAGGACUGAAAUAUUUGGCAACAACUUUGUUAAGAUUUUGAAGGCUUAGGGGCGCCUGGGUGGCGCAGUCGGUUAAGCGUCCGACUUCAGCCAGGUCACGAUCUCGCGGUCCGUGAGUUCGAGCCCCGCGUCGGGCUCUGGGCUGAUGGCUCAGAGCCUGGAGCCUGUUUCCGAUUCUGUGUCUCCCUCUCUCUCUGCCCCUCCCCCGUUCAUGCUCUGUCUCUCUCUGUCCCAAAAAUAAAUAAAUGUUGAAAAAAAAAAAAAAAGAAAAAAAGAUUUUGAAGGCUGAAUGGGACCAUUUAAAGAAAACCACAGUAGCUCUUGGGGCAUAACACAGAACUUUGGGACACGGUAUACUGAGCUUAUCUGUAAGUAGGCCAUGAUAUUACCUCUAUAUAAGGUCCCAUCAGCCACCACAGGAAUUGCAGGUGACUUGGCAAUCUAUAAAUUAGGAUAAAUUUCUUCCCAAAGAAAUCAACUCGAGGGGCACUUGGGUGGCUCAGUCAGUUAAGUGUCUGACUCUUGGUUUUGGCUCAGGUCAUGAUCUCAGUUUGCGAGUUCGAGCCCCCUGUUGGGUUCUGUGCUGGCAGAAUGGAGUGUACUUGUGAAUCUUUCUCUCCUUCUCUCUCAAAAAAUAAACAUAAAAAAGAAAAAGAAAUCAACUCGAUUCAGCUAACAUUUACUCAGUGCCGACUAUGCACUAGGAACAUUCAUAUACACUCUCUGACUUAAUCCUAACAACAAAAAUCAUAAGGUAGGUGGUAUUUUACACAUGUGGACACUGACAUCCGGGCAGUGCAAAUGAGGACCCUAAGUGACAGAGUCAGGAUUAAUGACCAGGCUUUCCACACUGUCUUAUAUACUUCUUCGGUCAAAAAGGCCCAAUCCUGGGUGCCACUGGAAGGGCACCUCCACUGGGAGGGCAGCAACCAGAAAAUGAGAGCACUACUCCCCAGUAUCAAGCAUCAUUUUUAUCUUCUACACUGCUUAUUACAAUGCUCCUACUUCCUGCUUCCUUAUUUUUUCCCUAAAUUUCAAAUUUUUAAAGAAUUCAAGUCUCAUCGUUGCUGCACACAAAACCCUUCUUCAGCGUUUCAGCCCACACCAACCUCUCUUCUUUCUGAUUUGUCUGUCUGGCUCAUGUAGCCUAGACCAUAUAAUUUAGCACUUCAUCCUACAUGGUUCUGUGUCAUCUGCUGCAUAUGUAGGAGGUACAAUAUGAAGAGAGAUCAAUAUUCAAUAUGGAUUUCCCCUCUUAAAAUAUUCAGGAAAGCACAAUUACCUUCAAGCAAUGAGCGCUUAAGCACCUAAUAUGGACACAGCAGAGAAACGCAAAGGCAUUUUUGACACAGGGCUGGACUAUUAGGGCUGAAUGUAUUAACACAUGAAAAACAUCAACAAGAUUCGGUACAGGAUGCACCUAAAGCAUGUGACCUUUUUCCAGGCAUAGUGAAAAUGGCUGUAUUGACAUGUCGUAUUGACUCAAUCCUUUGGCUUUCCAGUAGACUUGCAUAUAAAGAGAGAACAUGGUGUCAAGUCUGACUGAGAGUUGUACUUUCAAAAUGGAUUAUUAAUAAUACGGCAUUUUGUUUUUAGGCAUCAGUCUCUGACCUCUGGUACUGUGAAUUUGAUCCACUUGAGGUGUGCUUGGUGUUCCCAUGGGACAUUUGAUAUCACUGCCUAUCUUUUUCUGCGAGAUGUAACUGAGUCUUGUCUCCUUACAAAAGUAUAAGCUCAAGGGUAGGGAUCAAGUAGUAAGCAUCAUUUGCAUCUUCUACAAAGCUUAGUACUAUGUGAGGCAUAAACUAAGC